This 460-nucleotide ribosomal RNA is filed under the name uncultured bacterium. RNAcentral's name for it is "partial 16S ribosomal RNA". It matches the Rfam family "Bacterial small subunit ribosomal RNA", at positions 338 to 795 of the family's 1533-position model. The record is from RNAcentral.
CCUACGGGCGGCAGCAGUGAGGAAUAUUGGUCAAUGGCCGGAAGGCUGAACCAGCCAUGCCGCGUGAAGGUCAGUGCCCUAUGGGCGUUAAACUUCUUUUGUGCGGGAGCAAUAAUGGUCACGUGUGGCCAGACGAGAGUACCGUACGAAUAAGCAUCGGCUAACUCCGUGCCAGCAGCCGCGGUAAUACGGGGGAUGCAAGCGUUAUCCGGAUUUAUUGGGUUUAAAGGGUGCGUAGGCUGUGAGGUAAGUCAGCGGUGAAAUGCCCCCGCUCAACGGGGUGAAGUGCCAUUGAUACUGCCUGGCUGGAAUGCGGAUGCGGUGGGAGGAAUGUGUGGUGUAGCGGUGAAAUGCAUAGAUAUCACACAGAACACCGAUUGAGAAGGCAUCUCACGAAUCCGCGAUUGACGCUGAUGCACGAAAGCGUGGGUAUCAAACAGGAUUAGAUACCCUGGUAGUC